RNAcentral lists this ribosomal RNA (461 nucleotides) under uncultured bacterium. RNAcentral describes it as "partial 16S ribosomal RNA". It matches the Rfam family "Bacterial small subunit ribosomal RNA", at positions 338 to 795 of the family's 1533-position model. The record is from RNAcentral.
CCUACGGGAGGCAGCAGUGAGGAAUAUUGGUCAAUGGGCUUACGCCUGAACCAGCCAAGUCGCGUGAGGGAAGACUGCCCUAUGGGUUGUAAACCUCUUUUGUCAGGGAGCAACGCCGGCUACGUGUAGCCGGACUGAGAGUACCUGAAGAAAAAGCAUCGGCUAACUCCGUGCCAGCAGCCGCGGUAAUACGGAGGAUGCGAGCGUUAUCCGGAUUUAUUGGGUUUAAAGGGUGCGUAGGUUGUUUUAUAAGUUAGCGGUGAAAUACCGAUGCUCAACAUCGGGGCUGCCGCUAAUACUGUAGGACUAGAGAUCGGAUGCAGCAGGCGGAAUGUGUAGUGUAGCGGUGAAAUGCAUAGAUAUUACACAGAACACCGAUUGCGAAGGCAGCUUGCUAGGCCGGAUCUGACACUGAUGCACGAAAGCGUGGGGAUCGAACAGGAUUAGAUACCCCGGUAGUC